RNAcentral lists this transfer RNA (88 nucleotides) under Micromonospora sp. CP22. RNAcentral's name for it is "tRNA-Leu". It matches the Rfam family "tRNA". Rfam says of the family: Transfer RNA (tRNA) molecules are approximately 80 nucleotides in length. Their secondary structure includes four short double-helical elements and three loops (D, anti-codon, and T loops). Lineage: Bacteria; Bacillati; Actinomycetota; Actinomycetes; Micromonosporales; Micromonosporaceae. RNAcentral also lists the same sequence under 1 other name. The record is from RNAcentral.
GCGGGAGUGGCGGAACUUGGCAGACGCGAUAGGUUUAGGUCCUAUUGUCCGAAAGGACGUGGGGGUUCAAAUCCCCUCUCCCGUACCA